UCACCUUCCCUAACCAAGGACACUUAGGAGGCGGUUUGCACCUCUGCUCGCCGACCAGAGAGUGAGCAGCUCCGAUCACCCUGGUCGGGCAGAUGGACCACAGAGACGGUGGUGCUGCCCAAACCCCAGACGAAGUCGGGGGAGCAAAUAGCCAGAAAGCCCAAUUGGAACUGAGCGAAUCCAAGGUAAAAGUAAAGCACCGAAACUGACUAGAGAGUGGUCCCUUCCACGCGCAUCUUGACGUGUCAGCGGGUUAAAGGACCCACCUGGAAAGCUAGUGAACAUCUGUCGAGGCCCUCCCCUGAGACCUCCUCUAAAACUCCCACCUUUGGAAAACAGGGCCAGGUCUUCAGAGUGCUCUUCAUGCCUGUGACCAUGCUUGACCCUCCCCCACAUCUGGAGGGCCGGAAUGACCGUUCCUGCAGGACUGGAGUGUAAGUGGCCCAAUGGCACACGGUGGUACACGGCAGGGCUGGACUACGUAGAGACUCCCGCUGCUGCUCCGUCCGGAUCCGCCCUCCUUCCUCUCGCCGUUCCAUGAGAGCCCUCUGACCCCUUGGGUUACUGGGCUUGUGACCCCACCUGGAUCAGACUCAGUAAAAGCCAAGACUUUGGCAGAAGUCUUAGGAGGAAGGAACUCUUUCUACUGGAGGUGCAAGCUGCUAGGACAUACACAAGCCAUUCUGCCACCACAGGGAGAAAGGCUGCUGAGAGUGAGGGGCCGUGGAAGAGAGGUGAGCCCGGGUAGGGGAGAGGGACGAAAAAACCAACUCUACAUCAGUCUCUCGAUCAAGUCUCGAGCUGGACACGCCAGAGUCACCAAUGGGCCAGGGCCAAGGAGUCCCAAAGGAACUCUGGUCUGUGUCCUUCAGUGUCGCCCCUUCCUCCAGGAGACUGAACUGUCACCGCCCUGGGGCUGGAGCCCUCAGCCUGGGUGCAGCCUGCGGGCCCUUCAGCACCCAGCCCGGCUUCCUCCACAGAGGUGCCUCACCCACCUCACCUCACCCCACCCAGGCACCGCCAGACACUUGCUUCUCUGCCGAACGGCCUUCAAUUCCCUGAAUGCGCCCCAAGGCAGGGGCUACCUAGGCCAGCUGGUCCCCAGCCGGGGUUUCAGCAGAACGCCCUCGGGCCCUCCGUGCCCCUGCCCGCUCUGCUCACCUUGAUCAUGCUGUACAGGGACUUCUCAUACUUGGUGCGGAAGAUCUCCCGGAUGUCAAGCAUGUCCAGCUCGCUACGGGAGACCAUGAUGCGGAUCAGGGUGUUGUCCCGAGUCCCCAGGCCCUGGAAGACAGGUGCCCUGACCAGAGAUUGAACCUAAAACUUUGGUGUUUCAGGACAACGUUCUAACCAGCUGAGCUACCUGGCCAGGGCCCGUUUUGGACUUCGUCACUAUGCCACUGUGUAUUUGUCUUCCCUGCUACUCCUGAUGGACACCAACUUGUUUCUAGUCUUCCAGACACGGACAAUGCUGACUGCUGACGGGUGGCCCUCCUGCUUUUACCUCCACCUGUGGCCCCUGGCGACAAACGCCUGUUGCUCACUUACCCUGUGUGCUAUGGGAAUGUCAUCGGUUUCUGUGAGUCCCGUGUGUGAAGUUUGGGAAGUGGCGUUGUCGGUGCGCCCAGAGUGAAACCACUGGGUCACGAGUGAGCACCAUGACCCCCAGCAGACAAUGCCAAAGAGCUUUUCCCUUACCUACGUCCUCCCCAUAUCAAUGUUCCGAUUAAUUAAUAUUUGCAUAAAGUGUGACUUCCAACCCUCAGGCGGCACGGACGGGGCGCUGGCUGUCACAGGGCAGGUGUUCGGUGGGAGGUGUGUGACCACGCGGCGUCCCAGGCUCUGGAGCUCACGGGGACAAAGGGCCCUCACCCUGACCCAUGGCCGGUCCUUGAAGGAUCCCUUUGGCCAGUGGCCCAUAAGGACAUGCCCAAGAGUCCCAACAGCCCUGGCGGGCAGGCAGAGACCCCCUUGCCCAAUCUCAUUCACACCAAACCCAUCACGCACCUUCAUGGCCUUGAAGAGCCUUUCCGCGAAAUACUCUGGGGUGCUCCGGAUACACUUCACUGAGGAGAAGAAGAGCUGGUUACCUGGCUGCCUCAGAAGGAGGAUGGGGUGACCCGACCCCUCCUUCUCCGUGUUUCUGCCUUCGGGGGCCACAAGUUCAAACCCAGGAAGAACUCUGGCUCCUGACAGCCUGCCGCCUUUUAUCCCAAACACAGGGGAUAAGGAAAUCUGGAAACGGGCCUGUUAUCUGGGCCCUUUUUAAAGAUCAAACCCUCAGCACGGGGCCUGGCACACGACACAGUGCCCGCGCCACAGAACCUGCCCUCCCGGUCACUAUUUCCUGACCUCGCCCCCCACCCCACACGCCGGAGGAGGGGGCAGGGGAAACUCAGUGCCGAGGCGCAGCUCCCCGCUUCCCCCACCUCGGCCCUGCUGCGCUGGCCGCACCUCUCGAGUUCACUGCUCACCGGCUUCUAGCUUUUCCUUCUCCACACCACAGAAUCCCCCUUUUCCGUUCUGGCCCCUCGUUCCUGGGCCAGGACCCCAGAGCCCUCGGAGCCCAGAACGCAGCGGCAGGACGUACCCACGGCCAGCAUCAGCUUCUCGAAGUCCCCGGACAGCUCCCCCCUGAUGCUCGCUUCGAUGGGCUUCCCCGUGGUCUUCAGAUACUCAUCGAACACUGGGUGAGACAGAGUCGGGGACAUUGGGGACGCCCCCGCGCCACCGAGGACAACCAGGGACAUCAGAGGGGGGGGACGCAGCGCCCCGAAUGGGAGUGCCAGCAGGAAGGGAGGGCUGGUACUUUGGGAGGGGGCUGGGAGGUCACGUAUGUCACCAGCCACUGCGCCAUCACGCUGCGUGUGCUGUGACGGGCUGUGCACACCUCAUGCUCCAGUAGGAAGAAAGACUGGUGUUUAGAUGAUGGAACCCAGCACACUGUUAAUGACUUUGGUGAAGGGCCACACAAACCACGGUCUAAUAAAAUCAGGACUAGUUUUGGGUUGCUGCAGAGAUAGCUGUCGUGCUCCACUAGUAGAAAAGGAAAAGAGAAUGGACUUCUUGGCACAACCCAAGGGGCAGCUGUAGUGUUUUCUGGUGCUUACCCAAACGAAGAUGCUGCUUGCUGCGAUUUCCCAAAAUGUAAAUGAACUGGGCUUCAUCUGUUCCCCAUUUCAGUUCCCCAGCCUCGUACAGGUCCUGAAGGGGAAGAGUGGGUGCUAACUGAAAGAGGAAACCUCAGGGGAUAGGAAUCUCUGGCCAAGCCCCUCAGAAUUGAUGUUAAAUCCCUGAGCAUGCCAUGCCAGUAACUGGUGGCCUCAGGACCUUUGCACAUACCUUCUGCCCUGUCUUCCUGGAAAAACUACUCAACCUUCAAGUCCUAUUUGUUCUCAAACACUUCCAGAUGCCCCCUGACAAAGCUGUGUCCCUCCCUCCCUCUCUCUUCUAGCCUCCUGUAGCUGUUUGUUUACAGCUCUGAUCCACUGUACAAUACAAUGAUUUCUUUCUAUGCCCAUCUCUCCACUCUGACGUGGACUUCUCCAGGACAGGGACUAUGUCUGAGCAUUCUCAACGUCUGCCCCCGCAGCGUAACUGGAACACAGUGGGGCUCCAAACAGCCGGACGGUAUGCUGUGUCCAGGGAGAAGGUGUUUCUGUGAUUAACACAAGCCUGUCUCUCCUAGUGCUGUCUGAUUUUGUUCAUUAGUGAUUCUCCAAUGCUUGGCAGAGUGCCUGGCAGAGAGUAGGUAUUCAACAAAUACUAACAAACUGAAUAAGUGAAAAACUGAUGAAAGCUCCAAAAUACACCUUACCAACUUUACGUAAGUUGUAUACCUUGGAAAGACAACAUAAACCUUUUCUCUAGUAAAGCACCACAUAGAUGA
This is a long non-coding RNA of Artibeus jamaicensis (Jamaican fruit-eating bat), 3889 nucleotides long. RefSeq lists it as uncharacterized. NCBI's taxonomy places the organism in Eukaryota, Metazoa, Chordata, Mammalia, Chiroptera, Phyllostomidae. The record is from RefSeq and is a predicted model, not a curated record. The transcript is spliced from 4 exons.